RNAcentral lists this ribosomal RNA (442 nucleotides) under uncultured cyanobacterium. Its description in RNAcentral is "bacterial SSU rRNA". It matches the Rfam family "Bacterial small subunit ribosomal RNA", at positions 8 to 492 of the family's 1533-position model. Lineage: Bacteria; Bacillati; Cyanobacteriota. The record is from RNAcentral.
AGAGUUUGAUCAUGGCUCAGGAUGAACGCUGGCGGUCUGCUUAACACAUGCAAGUCGAACGGAAUCUUUCGGGAUUUAGUGGCGGACGGGUGAGUAACGCGUGAGAAUCUGCCUUCAGGUUCGGGACAACAGUUGGAAACGGCUGCUAAUACCGGAUGUGCCGAGAGGUGAAAGCUUAAGUGCCUGGAGAUGAGCUCGCGUCUGAUUAGCUAGUAGGAGUGGUAACGGCACCCCUAGGCGACGAUCAGUAGCUGGUCUGAGAGGAUGAUCAGCCACACUGGGACUGAGACACGGCCCAGACUCCUACGGGAGGCAGCAGUGGGGAAUUCUCCGCAAUGGGCGCAAGCCUGACGGAGCAAGACCGCGUGAGGGAAGAAGGUCUGUGGAUUGUAAACCUCUUUUGAUCGGGAAGAAGACAGUGACGGUACCGAUCGUAUCAGCU